UCUCUGGUGUAGGGAGAUCACCUCAGGCAUACAGUAUUGUCAGGUGCAUGUAGCCAGACCUGAUCUCCCUGCAGCAGCUG
This 80-nucleotide microRNA precursor is filed under the name Branchiostoma belcheri (Belcher's lancelet). Its description in RNAcentral is "microRNA bbe-mir-4864 precursor". It matches the Rfam family "mir-4864 microRNA precursor family". Lineage: Eukaryota; Metazoa; Chordata; Leptocardii; Amphioxiformes; Branchiostomatidae. The record is from miRBase by way of RNAcentral.